RNAcentral lists this unclassified non-coding RNA (391 nucleotides) under soil metagenome. RNAcentral's name for it is "partial contains 5.8S ribosomal RNA, internal transcribed spacer 2, and large subunit ribosomal RNA". The stretch from base 1 to 121 matches the Rfam family "5.8S ribosomal RNA", at positions 35 to 154 of the family's 154-position model. The record is from RNAcentral.
GAUGAAGAACGCAAGCGAAAUGCGAUAAGUAAUGUGAAUUGCAGAAUUCAGUGAAUCAUCGAAUCUUUGAACGCACCUUGCGCUCCCUGGUAUUCCGAGGAGCAUGCCCGUUUGAGUGUCAUGAAAACCUUCAACCCCCCUCUUCGCAUCUGUCGAGGAGGGAGGUUGGACUUGGGUGCUGCCGCCGCUCUCUCUGCGGCUCACCUCAAAUGCAUUAGUCGACUCUUGCCGGCCUCACCUUUGACGUGAUAGACAUCGUCGUCGAGGUUCAGGUUGGCCCACCUGGAGCGGCUCACAACUGUCUUUGGACAUCGAAAGAUACACAUGACCCCUUUGACCUCAAAUCGGGUAGGACUACCCGCUGAACUUAAGCAUAUCAAUAAGCGGAGGA